RNAcentral lists this long non-coding RNA (1913 nucleotides) under Nicotiana tabacum (common tobacco). RNAcentral describes it as "long non-coding RNA (NTAB_LNC004825)". Lineage: Eukaryota; Viridiplantae; Streptophyta; Magnoliopsida; Solanales; Solanaceae. The record is from RNAcentral.
GAGAUAACAAAUUACAGUGAGAUUAAUAUAGGGCACUGUGACGGCAAAACAGAAGGAACGAGUAAUAGGGAUUGACUGCUCUUUAUUUUGGAUAGCUUUUCACUGGAAUUUUGUGGAGAAAAAGGCUAUAUAAUCAGGUAUUUUGAUCAACUUUCGUACAAUGAUAUACAUGAUAUUGAAUUUGCAGUGAAGUAUUAGUUAUGUUUUUGUAAAGUAGGCUAAUGAUUAGGAGGAGACAAAGGAAUAAUUGAGCAUGGCAGACAUAAUCAUGAAGCAUUGGGAAUGAAUUUUAAUUUAAUAAAAGAAAUCUUACCCUUCAAUAUGGACAAAACCAGUUAGGAUUGUUUUGGAUCUUAAUAUUAGAAUAUUACAUAUAUAGGGAAUUAGUUAUGGACCUUUGCACACAUAUGUAGAAUGACAGGUUAUGAUUUAUGUUUUUCUUUUGUAAUAGCUACGUAGUGAUUGAAAAUAUAAUGAGUAGUGAUAAGUUUUCAAAAUCAGGUCUAAGGUUGGAGUGAGAAUUUAUCCGUAAGGUGUAUCUAGGACCUAUUUGAAUGUUAAUAUUAAAGCCACUGUUCCGAUUUUUAUUGUUAAGUAUAGAAAGAUUUUGAUUGUAACCCGGGGUUAUGACAGUUUAGAUUGGGAUAAUGGGAUACAUUACUAUUAAGGUGUAAAAGAAAAAUAUAAAGCUAUAACUCUAAGCUUGAAAGUUAGGGACAUAGAGAUUUGAUCCCGACUAAUAUAACUGAUAUUGUUAAUAAUAUUUUGUAUAGAUUGAGGUUAUUGGAGGCCGUUUAGUUUAGUUGGUGUUCUAAAAAUCGCGAGGUUGGAAAAUUUUCUGUUAUCGAGAUAAGCGAGACUUUAAGCUUUAAUGCUUGCUUUUUCAAAACUCGUUUUGAAAAAAAAUGUUUUGUCUGCCUAGUCCAUGUGUUGGGACGAGCGUGCGCUUGGCAGAAUCGGUGGUGUUUGACCAACCGCAAAUAUAUAUUAUUUUAUAAAAAGCUAAAACUAUUUAAUAAGUGAUUUGUGAUGUGGUGUGAUGUGGCGUAGCCUCGUGCUAUGGCGUUGGGGUGUUAGAAAUUAUUUUUUCGUUGCCGUAAUAUAUUUGGGGCAUUGUGUAUGUUGCCGUGAUAGAUUUGGGACAUUGUGUAUGCCGCCAUAAUAUAUUUGGGGCAUUGUGUAUGCCGCUGUGAUAGAGUUGGGGCAUUGUGUAUGCCGCCAUAAUAGAUUUGGGGCAUUGUGUAUGCUGCCGUGGACUCGUCGGAGUGUUUGGUUAAUUUCCUGUACUGUCGUUAAUGACAAGUCCUUAGUGUAGAUUGAGUUGAGAUAUAUAUAGUGUUAUUGUUGAAUAAUUUUUUGGGCCUUAUAGAGUAAUUAUAUGGUGAAAGAAUUUCUGUGCUUGUUGUGUGUUUGUAUUUUCUAACACUUAUUCCAGGUGUAUUUAAAGUAGCGGGUCAAGGAUCUUACGGGGUUAUAUUUACGUAUAACUCACUUUUUACCUGCAUGUCUAUGCAGAUACUAUUGAUGAAAACAGAGCUAGUAACUAACGAGUUCGCUAGAGUUGAUUCAGUUAUUUAGGUGAGCCGUCGCAUUAUUCGUGGAGGCUGCCAAAAGAGUCUUUAUUAUUUAUCCAUACAAUGUCUUUUGCAAUUCUCUUAGAUGCUCCAUAGCCUAGUGUGGAAUUUGGACUAGAGUUUCGGUAUUAUAUUUUGAGAUAUUAAUUGUUCGUAAUGGUUAUCAGUUUAUGUGGAUACUUAUUUAAUUAAUCAAAUGUUGCAAAUUAAUAGCUAAGGUAUGAAAGUAUAGUUCGCCUAGCGGGUGGUGUUAGCUAGGUGCCAGUCACGUCUAAGGAAUAGUUUGGGACGUGACAUUACGCAUUUACAUAAAUCCAGUAACUUUGCCAAAACCUUAUG